AUUGAACGCUGGCGGAAUGCUUUACACAUGCAAGUCGAACGGCAGCACGGACUUCGGUCUGGUGGCGAGUGGCGAACGGGUGAGUAAUGUAUCGGAACGUGCCCAGUCGUGGGGGAUAACGUAGUGAAAAUUACGCUAAUACCGCAUACGAUCUAUGGAUGAAAGCGGGGGAUCGCAAGACCUCGCGCGAUUGGAGCGGCCGAUAUCAGAUUAGGUAGUUGGUGGGGUAAAGGCCCACCAAGCCAACGAUCUGUAGCUGGUCUGAGAGGACGACCAGCCACACUGGAACUGAGACACGGUCCAGACUCCUACGGGAGGCAGCAGUGGGGAAUUUUGGACAAUGGCGAAAGCCUGAUCCAGCCAUUCCGCGUGCAGGAUGAAGGCCCUCGGGUUGUAAACUGCUUUUGUACAGAACGAAAAGGUUUCUACUAAUACUAGGAGCUCAUGACGGUACUGUAAGAAUAAGCACCGGCUAACUACGUGCCAGCCGCCGCCGUAA
Molecule: ribosomal RNA, 499 nt
Filed under: uncultured bacterium
Lineage: Bacteria
Description: partial 16S ribosomal RNA
Rfam family: Bacterial small subunit ribosomal RNA
Source: RNAcentral